This is a long non-coding RNA of Gasterosteus aculeatus aculeatus (three-spined stickleback), 2275 nucleotides long. NCBI's taxonomy places the organism in Eukaryota, Metazoa, Chordata, Actinopteri, Perciformes, Gasterosteidae. The record is from Ensembl.
AAUUAUUAUUAUUACCAUUUCAACAAACUUGGAAUCAAUCCUCACCAAGUACAAGAAAAGAUAUCCCUGCUCAAAUGAAACAGAAUUAUUGACACCUGCCUGACUUUCUCUUGUUUUUUUUAUUUCCUUUAAUGGAAUAGAACGAGGCCUUGCAGUCUUAGCAGUCAUGUCCAGAAAUGCUAAAUAAUGCUCUGUUUCAUUACGAUCCUCAGGCUGUCAUGAAGAGAGACCCGCUGAUAUUUCACUGUUAGAAAAAAUAAACCUGGCUAAUUGGUAUGCAUUUUCCGUGCUGUGCAAAAUUAAUUAUUUAUGGGAGUGAGGAGCAAGAAGGCUUAGAAGACCCGCAUCCCUUUGGGAUGAGUCACAUAGUUGUUGGAGUUUGAUUGCCAUGUGUGGAUAAUGUUUUGUUAAAGGGCCUAAUCAGCUAUUGACCAAAUAAAUAGAAAAAAUUCCAAUAAAUGACACAAACAUAUUCAAGCAUUAAAAAAGGCCAAUGUAAAAAUGUAACAGGCAGCGGUUACUCACUAUUGCCUCUUGAUUUACAAGCGGUAUUACAAGAUAGGUAAUCAGUUACUGUCAGCAAACAUUUUUAAAAUAGCUUGAAAAAAAGUUUUAAAAAAUAUCAAUCUUUUUUUUUUUUAAACGGUCAAAUAUUCUUCCGAAAGAAAAAUCACAAGAUGUGAAAAAAAAAAAAAGUUAAAAAUGUGUCAAUGUUUUGGAAAAUAUGGAAAAAAUCCAAAUGUUUUAAAAAAAGGCCUAACGAAAGCAAAUUCGUUUGGUCAAAAAAUGUAAAAAAUAAAAAUAAAAAAUUAUGGAGGAAAAAAGUUUGAAAAAAUGAGGUCGGAAAAUGAUUAAAAAAAAUAAGUUGAUAUACAUUAUGUAAAAAGAAGUAGAUAAUAGGAAUGAUUUUAGAAAUUAGUCUAAAUAUGUCAGGUCAGAAAAUUGUCAUUUGUGUAAAAAUAUUUUUUUUGAAAGAAAAGUUUAAAAAAAUGUGUUGGAUACGAUAUGAUGAGAUGAGAUAAAGAUGUGUAGCAGGUUUUCAAAAAUGUAAAAAAAAUAAGGCUAAAGGCCCAGUGGUAUUUGAGCAGUAUACGCUAAAGCAAACAUCCUUAUGUUCACUCAUGUGCAUCGUGUCAAGCUAAGAAUAAGUGUAAAGCUUCACAGAGCCUCAGCUUAACAUCGGCCCUGUUGCAGCGUGUGGUAAAUACCAUUAUGACAGCAAGAGACCACCCCAUUAGCCAUAGCAGUAGACUAUCUCCUUCUAUCUCUAAUAGCGAUUGUGAAGCUUAAUUGUUUCCCAGACCAUCAAACAGUUUGAGUUGCCAUCUGUAAAAAGAAGAUUGCCAUAAUGUAUCUGCAUGGUGCAACAACACAGUCACCCGUUGUUCUCCACAAGCAAACAGACACUGUUUGCUAUGUAAACCGGCCUAUGAAGCUAUGGGGGAAAUUAAUUGCACCUUUUGUAAUGUAAUUAAAAAAGAUGUUUACAUUACUCAGUUAAAUCAUUAGCCUUCUGCUGAUGAUGGCACGUUUGACGUAUUUUGGCUACCGUAUGGUGUGCCAUUGAUAUAUAAAAGUGAUAUCAUCAAUGUCAUAUUUGUGACUCCCUCUGUGAAUCUCCAUGUAUGACCUUUCAAAUAGCCAACAAUUUCAACAAGCUGUCUGUCCACAUUUUGCUUUCACCAUGUAGACAUCCACUGAUUCAUACUAUCUAGGUCUUAAAUUAGUCCGAGCCUCACAAAGUAAUAACUGGACCCCUAAAUGGCAUUCGAUCCUAUAUGUAAGCUUGAUUGACGAGCCCGCUUAAUGUACAACUUCUGGAUUAUUCAUUUUGUGAGAUGACGCCGUAGAAAAUAUAUUUUUCAAUCAAGAAACUUGCACUAGGCUCAAUCGGGCCCCUUGUUUAGCGAGAGGGAGCGGCAAUUACAUGUUGUGGUGAUCGUCUCCCUGUACGGUUCUGUAAGGUUGUAACUCAAGCUUUGUCUUGAUCUUUAAAGAUAAGGAAAGCUGCCUCAUCUGCUAAAAGCCAAUGAAAAAUAUAAAUCUACUACUUUACGUCAGCAAAAAAGCCCUGCUCAAGAAAAGUAGAGUAACACAAUAAACCGCCUGUGCCUCCGAGUAUCAUCUAAAUCAUCACUCACCUCAGUGUGGUUUACUAGUACAUUUUGCAAUUUCAAGCAAAUCGUGAUUAAUUCUAAUAAAUCCGGAAUGACUGUUGCUUUAUCUAAUAUUCUAAAGGAAUAGCUGUUUAGCAACCACCAAUAUUUGCUCGUCC